Molecule: ribosomal RNA, 995 nt
Filed under: uncultured bacterium
Lineage: Bacteria
Description: bacterial SSU rRNA
Rfam family: Bacterial small subunit ribosomal RNA
Source: RNAcentral
GGGGAAUAUUGCACAAUGGGGGAAACCCUGAUGCAGCGACGCCGCGUGGAGGAAGAAGGUCUUCGGAUUGUAAACUCCUGUUGUUGAGGAAGAUAAUGACGGUACUCAACAAGGAAGUGACGGCUAACUACGUGCCAGCAGCCGCGGUAAAACGUAGGUCACAAGCGUUGUCCGGAAUUACUGGGUGUAAAGGGAGCGCAGGCGGGAAGACAAGUUGGAAGUGAAAUCUAUGGGCUCAACCCAUAAACUGCUUUCAAAACUGUUUUUCUUGAGUAGUGCAGAGGUAGGCGGAAUUCCCGGUGUAGCGGUGGAAUGCGUAGAUAUCGGGAGGAACACCAGUGGCGAAGGCGGCCUACUGGGCACCAACUGACGCUGAGGCUCGAAAGUGUGGGUAGCAAACAGGAUUAGAUACCCUGGUAGUCCACACCGUAAACGAUGAUUACUAGGUGUUGGAGGAUUGACCCCUUCAGUGCCGCAGUUAACACAAUAAGUAAUCCACCUGGGGAGUACGACCGCAAGGUUGAAACUCAAAGGAAUUGACGGGGGCCCGCACAAGCAGUGGAGUAUGUGGUUUAAUUCGACGCAACGCGAAGAACCUUACCAAGUCUUGACAUCCCUUGACGAACAUAGAAAUAUGUUUUCUCUUCGGAGCAAGGAGACAGGUGGUGCAUGGUUGUCGUCAGCUCGUGUCGUGAGAUGUUGGGUUAAGUCCCGCAACGAGCGCAACCCUUAUGGUCAGUUACUACGCAAGAGGACUCUGGCCAGACUGACGUUGACAAAACGGAGGAAGGUGGGGAUGACGUCAAAUCAUCAUGCCCUUUAUGACUUGGGCUACACACGUACCACAAUGGCGUUAAACAAAGAGAAGCAAGACCGCGAGGUGGAGCAAAACUCAGAAACAACGUCCCAGUUCGGACUGCAGGCUGCAACUCGCCUGCACGAAGUCGGAAUUGCUAGUAAUCGUGGAUCAGCAUGCCACGGUGAAUACGUUCCCG